Molecule: long non-coding RNA, 4176 nt
Organism: Cebus imitator (Panamanian white-faced capuchin)
Lineage: Eukaryota; Metazoa; Chordata; Mammalia; Primates; Cebidae
Exons: 4
Source: RefSeq, a predicted model, not a curated record
UCAUUCACUCUUAUUUUCAGCUUUUGUUUUAUGUACUUGGGAAGGCUUUAACCUCUCACGUCUUUAAAAUUCCGGUGUGAAAGUGACCCCUGAAGCCUCAUGCACUCAACUCGUUUGACGUGUUCUCUCUUGCCCUUGUCUGUUGUCUUGAGUCUCAUAGCAUAUGUUUGAAACUUUCACUGUCGGUUUUGGAGGAGCCACUGUGGAUAUUGACGGGGCAAGUGACAGGAUCGUCAGUCUUGUAGAGAGAUUAUAUAGGAACCAGGUGUCUGAAAGAUUCGAGGCAGGGGAAAGAGUGGGAAAGCAAUUCGUAGGCUAGGGUAUUUGUGCGUGAGGUGACAUGCAAAGCUAGUGGAGGCAUUAGAGCAGGGGUUAGCAAACAUUUUUUGUAAAGAGCCAGAUUAUAUUUUAAGUCUGUCUAAACUACUCAACUCUACCUUGUAAUAAGAAAGCAUCCAUAGACAAUGAAUGAGUGUGGCUGUGUUCCAAUAAAACUUUAUGGACGUUGAAAUGUUAGUGUAAUUUCAGGUAUCAUGAAAUAUUAUUUUGAUUUAAAAAAUCAUUUAAAUAUGUAAAAACUUUUUUUUUUUUUGGCCUUGGAGGUGUGCAAAAACAACUUGUAAGCCAUAUUGCUGAGCCCUGCAUUAGAGGUACUUGAAGAGUGACACAAUUGGUGAUAAGUGACCAUAUAUUCUAUCCUUCAAUAUGGAACACUUUUGGAAGUAAACAGGGCAUUAAUAAUUAUAGCCAGAGAAGAGGAAUUAUUAAAUCAAUUUAUAUCAGGCAAACCUAAGUGAAUGGUCCCUAAGGUUAAGGGUUAGGAGAAGUCAAAAUUGCUUUAGGACUUGGUAACAGAAAAUGGGAGGUGCCAGUGUUGGAAGUAGGAAGAUAAAGAAGAAACUGGUUUUGAGGAGAAGAUAGCUACAGCAGUCCCAAGAGCCAUAUACAAUUGGGACAGCAUUAAUAGGAAGAAGGAAAGCACCCAGAACCAGGCCACUCCUUAUAUCUUAUUGACCAGAACUGGGCUAUUAGCUAUCCCUAAAGCAGUAACAGACAAGGAGUAUGGGACAUCCAUGAUUACCUAGUGUUUAUUUAUCUGGCUUUUCCAGUUCUUAUGCAGGACCGUGUUGGGCGUUGCUGGACAUUCAGCAUCUCUGGUUCCUUCCAACUAAAUAUCAGUAGCACACCUCAGGCAGUGUGACACCGUAAAGCAGCCCAUUUCCUCUCCUCCCCCCAGAGGUGUGAUGCUUGUUGAGAACCACUGGCUUAGGCUCUCAGGAUUUACUUUGGGGCUGAAUUAUGUGUGUGUAGAUUUCUUUUCCAAUUGGUUUGGAGGGAAGAGAGGAAUUGGACAGUAUUAAAGUUAUGUUGUCACGGAAGUGGGGUGGAGAAUGUUAGCUAACCACCAUUGGCUGCCACGGAAGUAAAAAGUUUUCCUUUAUACCCUUGCUAAAAUAAAUCUCCCGACUUCUUCACAGUUGAAGGCUUCCCAAAACCGGAGCUUUUUUGGAUUCUCAUUGUAAGCCCCUUGAACUGGGCUAGUUGGGAGUUCUUAUUUUCCACUCUAAGUAACAAUCUCUUGUCCCAGUAGGAUACUCCUGCUUUGAAUACCUCAAUAACUUUGCAAUUGGUGACUUGUCAUCAGUUUUCUCCUACUUCAUUCCUAUACAAAGGGACUAGACCUGUGUUCUGAUUUCCCUUGCUCAGACACCAAUCUCCAGGGGUGCUCUGUAAUGUAAAGAGAACAUUUCAGAAAGCUCAAUUGGCACUCAAGGGCCUCCAUAAGUCCCUGAAUGGCUUCCCUGCCUUCCCCUUCUGCAGCAAACAAUUCCUUGGAUACUCUCUAUUAAAUGAUACAUUUCCCCUGAUGAUACCUAGUCCCUUGCCCCGUUUAUGCUAUGUGCAUUUUCCACUCUAGGACUUGGCUCAUGCUGUUUCCUCACUGAGAGUACCCUUCUCAUUUCCAGCCACACAGUUUCCAUUAACUUCCCAUUCUUUCGCUUAAUUCUACCUCCACCCAAGGCCUCUAACUGUAUCAGCCCACAUUAACCUGUCUUCUUUGAAUUUCUAUGUAUUCCUUGCCUAUGCCAUCCAUUUUGGCCUUUUAUUUUAUGUUCUUGACUUUUCUGUUACUGAAACUGUCCUUUGGAUCCCAAGAUUUCCCCUUAUCCUCUGUGAAGGCUCUUUUUUUGGACUUCUUUCUACCCUCCUUUUUCUCUUUAUAUACCUACCUUGCCUAAAGGACAUCUACAAGAAUCCAUCAUCUAGAUUAUUUUCACCCUAUUAGCGUUUUUUCCGACACUUCAUCUAUUUACUGAUUUACCUGUAAUCUCGCCUGACUUUUCUCUGGAAGAUAUUAGUACUAGCCACCAAAUAUUUUUGUUUCUUUUUCCACACACAUAGUAGAUUUAGAUUUCCCUACUCCAUUUACCUCACGAGGGCCAAUAAAAUGUGAUUGGAAAUGACUUGUGUCAUUUCCAAACAAAAGCUUUAAGAUCCUGUAAACAUCCUGCUCUCUUUGUUUCUGCCACAGUGAUUAAAUAUUUUAAUUAUCUAUUGUCCCAUGACAAAGCACCUUAAAUCUUAAUGGUUUAAAACAGUCACCAGUUUUAGGUUUUGUGGGUUGACUAGGCUCAUGGGCAGUUGUCUGAUCUUACUUAGGGUCUGUCUUGUGGUUCCAGCCCGGUAUUGUCUGGGGCUAGCGUAUUUGGAGACUCAGCUGGGUUGCUAGAAUGGCUGAGCCUUUCUAUUUACCAGAAAGGAGUCUCUGUUCCAAAGAUUCCCUGAUUCACAUUGCUUCUUCAGUAGAGUAGCCUGACUUCUUGCAUGGUGGCUUAGGAUUCUCAAGUGCAGAAAAGCAAAAACUUCCAGGUUUUAUAAGUCUUAUGCCUGGAAAUGACAUAUUGUAUUGGUAAAAGUGGUCAAAGGGGCAGCUCAGUUUUAAGGGGAGAAGAAAUAAACACUUUGAUAGGGGCAGAGGAAGAGUGACAAAGAAUCUGGCCAUCUUUAUUACAAAAAUUUUUGUCAACCACAGAGUUCCAGGAAAAUGUGGCCAUCUUUAUUACUCUAAUGAUGUUUCAAAUUGUGUAGGCUUCUAUCAGUCAGGGUCUCAGAGAAAGGAAAAAGUGGAAAAGAGCUCCCAGUUAACACACAUAAAUAUAUGAAUAAGAAGCACAUCUCUGCUAUUCUAAGUCACUGAACUAUUUGGAGUUGUUUGGUAUCAACUUUUGCAUACUAACAUAAAAACUGGUACGGGAAAUAGGGUGGUUUUAUAACAAAAAUCUAAAAUAUGAGUCACUGAUGUAUAUAAUAAUUGUGUUAGAAAUAUUUGUGGUUGGUUGGUAGGCAGUGUCCAGCUCUGACUUACUUAUACAUUUCCCAGUGAAUCUAGCUCAGAAGUUUACACCAUGAUAUUCAAUAAAUAAUUCUUAAAUAAGAGAGAUUGUUGUAUUUUUUUUCUAUUUCAGGGAAUAGAGAAUUUUUUUUUCCAUAUCACACAUUUCUUGAAACGUAGAAGGGGUGCCAUGAAUCUGUUAUUUGAUGCUCUGUUCCAGUGCCACCAGUGAGUUUCCUGAUGUGGCGUUUUGGGGGCAGAAUCUACAGUUUACCAGUGGCCCCAGAAUGUCCUACAAAAGAGGUGAAAUCAGUAUUGGAGAAGUGGUCUUAUGAAGAUGGGAGCAGGACUACUCCAAUUGACUGCCGACUUCUCACCCAAUGGAAUAACCACAUCCCAACCUGAUCUCAGUGGAUAAGCCCAUAGGGUUAAGAACCCUCCUAUGGUUAAUAGUGAACAGAGUGGUACUCUCAGAGUCGAUUCCACAUAGGAUCUGGCAUUGGAUGCCUUGCACAUAAGACCAGCCUUACUGCAUAUUCAUGAAAUGACUUGGUCAAGCGAUGUAACCUUUACUUCAGUUUCUUCAUGUGUAAAAUGGGAAUGAAAACUUCCUCCUAGAGGUCGCAUAUGACAAUAAAGUGAGGAAACAAAGGGUAAUGAAUGCUGCGUGGUAGAAGAGGAGAGAACUCUGGCAUGUGGCUUUACGUCAGGAGGACACACUUGAGCUUUGGGAUUUGGAAGAGGCAUGUUGGGGCAAAGAUGACAGAGCUUUGUUCUUCUGGUCCUGCCUCUGUCCAGGCUUCCCUUGCCCCAGAAUAGGUGACUUCAUGGCAAAGGUAACA